UACAGAGGGUGCAACCGUUGUUCGGAAUUACUGGGCGUAAAGCGCGUGCAGGCGGCCUCGCAAGUCGGACGUGAAAUCCCACGGCUCAACCGUGGAAGUGCAUUCGAAACUGCGAGGCUGGAGUCCUGGAGAGGAAAGUGGAAUACUCGGUGUAGAGGUGAAAUUCGUAGAUAUCGAGUGGAACACCGGUGGCGAAGGCGGCUUUCUGGACAGGUACUGACGCUGAGACGCGAAAGCGUGGGGAGCAAACAGG
RNAcentral lists this ribosomal RNA (253 nucleotides) under uncultured bacterium. Its description in RNAcentral is "partial 16S ribosomal RNA". It matches the Rfam family "Bacterial small subunit ribosomal RNA", at positions 524 to 776 of the family's 1533-position model. The record is from RNAcentral.